RNAcentral lists this long non-coding RNA (1689 nucleotides) under Gossypium barbadense (sea-island cotton). RNAcentral's name for it is "long non-coding RNA (GBAR_LNC009928)". The record is from RNAcentral. Lineage: Eukaryota; Viridiplantae; Streptophyta; Magnoliopsida; Malvales; Malvaceae.
CUCUAAAAACCAUAUCCACUUAUAGUUUUCAAUAACACUUAACAUGGUCUAAUUAUACUCUUAAAUGACCUUAAAAUACCUCAUUGCAUGUAAACCUCAUCUCAUCAGUUUUUAUACAUGCUAGGUUGUCCCCUUUUAUCUUAAGGAUUUCCAUGACUUGUGACUCAAUUAAGAUUGGCUCUUUAUCUUAACCCAUUGCCCUCAAUUAAGAUUGGCUCUUUAUCUUAACCCAUUGCCAAAAUUAUGACCUAACCACCGCAUGUGAUUUGAUCAUGCUACAUAUGACUAAUUGUAAUACACUAUAUUUAAUCAUCACAAGAACAUUGGAACAUAACAUGCACAAUUUGGUAGGUCAUAACCUACACCAACAUGAGCUAAUUUCCAUGUCCAUAUACAAGUGAAUAUGUAUUGUAGUGGGCCAAAUUUGCCCGGGCCCACUAGAAACCUAAAUAUACAAUAAAUAAAUAAAUAAACCUCAGUCCAUUAAAUAACCCUAUCAGACCCAAACCCAAUUUUAAAACUUGGCCCAAAUUUACAAGGCCCGAUAGGCCCAGAACACUAAACCAAGACUGAAGCCCUAGCAGCACGUGUUUGCACCUCAGCAUCCUCGGUCUCCGUACCACCUCUGUACCCCCAUGCCACUCCAGCCUAGACCCAUACCCCGUGCGCAUGCCAACAGACCAGUACCUGCAAAACAAAAAGCAACAGCAGUAGAGACAAACAAAAAGAACAGCACAAACACAACAGCAAGAAAAUUUGUAUUUUUGAUUUUCUUUUCUUUUCUCGGCUAUAAAGCUGAGGAUAGUCAAAUGUAAAGGAGGACCACGAUAUCUGUACACACGCACAGAGAAUAGAGAAAAAGCAAUUUUAAAUCAGCAAAGGUGAUUUCAAGCCUUUUUUUUUAUCCUCUCUUAUGAUUUCUUUUUUAGUUUAUUUUUUUUAUUUUUAUUUUUCUUUUCAUUUGGUUCGGAUUUUUUUUAGUAUGUGAGUCAAUCCCAAUGAAAGCCCGAAUACUUCAAAAAUACUGAGGUGAAGGCGAGGGAACAAAUAGUGUUGAAUCUUUGCUCUAUGAACCUAUCUUCGUUUUUUUAAAAAAAAAAAUAAUGUGAAGUUUGAAGUUUUUUUUUUUAAAAAAUAAUAAAAAGGGAGGGAAGAAAAUACUUACCAAAUUUCUCUAGGCAUGGUCGAAUGCCUUCAACGAGGAAGAUGAGUUCUAUCUGCAUGCUGUUGAUCACCAAAAUAAUGGUGGUUCGGCUGCUAGCAAAAGAAACCCUAGAAAUUUGCUUCCAAGGCUGUGAUUUCGGCUUAAAAAUGGGGCUGCGUUUGAGAUGGAAAAUGGGGAAAGAAAGGUUUUAAAUAACCUUUUAACAAAGUAGUGAUGCUUGCAUAAAUAACGGCCCGCGUGUCAGCUCAUUUGGCAGGCCCAAUCUGCACAUUAUCACUCAAAAGUGGGGAAUUUGCUUGGUGGGUCCUUUCCCUUGCGCACAACAUCCAAUUUGCGCCCAAUUUGCCUACCCUAUGUUUUAAAAUUUGGCCUUCUGAUUUGUGUGUUGUUUUAUUUUGAUCCGCGGUUCGUUGCAGCAUUGUGUGGGCGCGAGAGAUUUACAAUUCCAGUCCCCGCAUAUUUGUGCGCAUAACACAUUGACUCUAUUUUGCAAUUAUUUAUUUGUAAAUUGGUUCUCCUGUUUU